CCUACGGGAGGCAGCAGUCGAGAAUCAUUCACAAUGGGGGAAACCCUGAUGGUGCGACGCCGCGUGGGGGAAUGAAGGUCUUCGGAUUUUAAACCCCUGUCAUGUGGGAGCAAGUUAAAAAGAUAGUAACCCAAGCGAUAGAGACUGCUAACUCUGUACCAGCAGCCGCGGUAAUACAGAGGUCUCACGCGUUGUUCGGAAUCACUGGGCGUAAAGCGUGCGUAGGCUGUUUCGUAAGUCGUUUGGGAAAGGCGCGGGCUCAACCUGCGGACGGCACAUGAUACUGCGAGCCUAGAGUAAUGGAGAGGGAACUGGAAUUCUAGGUGUAGCAGUGAAAUGCGUAGAUAUCGAGAGGAACACUCGUGGCGAAGGCGGGUUCCUGGACAUUAACUGACGCUGAGGCACGAAGGCCAGGGGAGCGAAAGGGAUUAGAUACCCCGGUAGUC
This 446-nucleotide ribosomal RNA is filed under the name uncultured bacterium. Its description in RNAcentral is "partial 16S ribosomal RNA". It matches the Rfam family "Bacterial small subunit ribosomal RNA", at positions 338 to 795 of the family's 1533-position model. The record is from RNAcentral.